GUUUAAUUAAGAUUUUCUUAUCCCCUGCUAUGUUAAUAGCUUGCUAGGCCCUGCAAGAGCCUCCUGUAUGUGACUAAAGUUCAAUUUAGAGAUUGAGAUACCAUUAUUUAAGGUAAAUUACAUCUGUUUGAAAGUGAAACCAGUUUUUUUUUUUUUUUUUUUCAUGCAGGCUCUGUCAAUCAUAGCCAGGGGUGGUGUGGCUAGGGCUGCAUAAACAGAAACAAAGUGAUUUAAC
This is a non-coding RNA of Pelobates cultripes (western spadefoot toad), 235 nucleotides long. The record is from the annotation of a GenBank genome assembly. Lineage: Eukaryota; Metazoa; Chordata; Amphibia; Anura; Pelobatidae.